AGAGUUUGAUCAUGGCUCAGAAUCAACGCUGGCGGCGUGCCUCAGACAUGCAAGUCGAACGAUUAAAGCUCUCUUCGGAGAGUGUAUAGAGUGGCGCACGGGUGAGUAACACGUAAGUAAUCUACCCUCGAGUGGGGAAUAACAACCGGAAACGGUUGCUAAUACCGCAUAAUGCAGCGGCACCGCAAGGUGACAGUUGUUAAAGAUUUAUCGCUUGAGGAGGAGCUUGCGGCAGAUUAGCUAGUUGUAGGGUAACGGCUUACCAAGGCUACGAUCUGUAACCGGUCUAAGAGGACGGUCGGUCACACUGACACUGAAUAACGGGUCAGACUCCUACGGGAGGCAGCAGUCGGGAAUUUUGGGCAAUGGGCGAAAGCCUGACCCAGCAACGCCGCGUGAAGGAUGAAGUAUUUCGGUAUGUAAACUUCGAAAGAAUAGGAAGAAUUAAUGACGGUACUAUUUAUAAGGUCCGGCUAACUACGUG
This 484-nucleotide ribosomal RNA is filed under the name uncultured bacterium. RNAcentral's name for it is "bacterial SSU rRNA". It matches the Rfam family "Bacterial small subunit ribosomal RNA", at positions 8 to 507 of the family's 1533-position model. The record is from RNAcentral.